AGGGGGCGCAGUCACUGACGUG
This 22-nucleotide microRNA is filed under the name Homo sapiens (human). Its description in RNAcentral is "hsa-miR-4697-5p". The record is from miRBase by way of RNAcentral. Lineage: Eukaryota; Metazoa; Chordata; Mammalia; Primates; Hominidae.